GACGAACGCUGGCGGCGUGCUUAACACAUGCAAGUCGAACGCUGAAGCACCAGCUUGCUGGUGUGGAUGAGUGGCGAACGGGUGAGUAAUACGUGAGUAACCUGCCCUUGACUCUGGGAUAAGCCCGGGAAACUGGGUCUAAUACUGGAUGCUACAUGUCACCGCAUGGUGGUGUGUGGAAAGGGUUUACUGGUCUUGGAUGGGCUCACGGCCUAUCAGCUUGUUGGUGAGGUAAUGGCUCACCAAGGCGACGACGGGUAGCCGGCCUGAGAGGGUGACCGGCCACACUGGGACUGGGACACGGCCCAGACUCCUACGGGAGGCAGCAGGGGGGAAUAUUGCACAAUGGGCGAAAGCCUGAUGCAGCGGCGCCGCGGGAGGGAUGACGGCCUUCGGGUUGUAAACCUCUUUCAGCAGGGAAGAAGCCACAAGUGACGGUACCUGCAGAAGAAGCGCCGGCUAACUACGUG
Molecule: ribosomal RNA, 470 nt
Filed under: uncultured bacterium
Lineage: Bacteria
Description: partial 16S ribosomal RNA
Rfam family: Bacterial small subunit ribosomal RNA
Source: RNAcentral